Long non-coding RNA from Papaver somniferum (opium poppy), 1547 nucleotides. RefSeq lists it as uncharacterized. The record is from RefSeq and is a predicted model, not a curated record. The transcript has 2 exons. NCBI's taxonomy places the organism in Eukaryota, Viridiplantae, Streptophyta, Magnoliopsida, Ranunculales, Papaveraceae.
UUCUCUCUUCGUUCUCAUCUCCUUCUUCUUGUUUUUCUGUUCUUCUUCGUUUUCUUCUCUGUCGAAUUCAAUUCAGAGGAUUGAGUUAAAUAUCGUGAGUAGUUAUUAGGAAACUUGUUAACUUAGUUGGUUAGACACGAGGGUGAUAGUGGUGUGUUUGUUUGAGCACGGUAAGAUGAUGAUAGGGUUGCUGCUGUUAAGUGAAGUUAGGUUUUUAGUUUGAGAUGAAUAAAUCAAGAGGGGAUGAUUAUUCAGUUGAGAACCUUGAUGAUUGAUAGAGGUGGUGUUGAUUAGGGUUGAUGUUUCAGAAUCGAGGAAAAAGGAAUUCAAUUCAGAUUUUCUUUAAUUAAUUCUGUUUUGUGUGAAUUUUAUUUAUAGCUUGAUCUUUUAGAGAUGGGUUUAUCUUAAAUUGAAGUUUAAAUGGAUGUAUUAGGUUUAAUUUUGAUUUCAGGGAAUUAGGGUUUAUACUGUUAUUCCCCAAACUAGAAAUUAGGUUUCACUCUAAAUUAAGGUUAGAAGAUUUGAAGAUGGGUUUGAAGAUGUUUAAAUGGGAUUGAUGAUUGUAGGUUGUUUUACUAAGAGAAGCUUGUAGUAUUGAACACUUAUGCUGGUUGGUUGGUUGUAAUAGCUGUAAUCCAUAUAGUGUUACUGCUGAGAUGAUGCAGCUGGAUUUGUAAAUGGUGUUUGAGCACCUGUAUCAAAGAUUUGCGAUAAGAGAUGAAGAUGAAUGGGUUACUGUUGGUAGGUUGUGAAAAGAUGUUGGUCACAAUCUGUAAGGGUUUGGUGUUUGUUUGCAAGAGACUAAGGAUUGAAGAGACAGGGUUGCCAAUAUUGGAGUUAGAUGAUUGGGUUAAGGGAUGCAUGAACCUGUGCAGGUGAAGAGUGAGUUGAAGUUCUGGUGGUAAUGAAGAUGGAUUUAAUUGAGUAGUUUUUAGAGUUUCAGUUGUAUGGAUUUGUCGUGUUGGUGGUUUGAGAAGGUGUGUUGGCUACAAGAUGACUUGGUGGUGCUCUAAAGCUGAGAGUGUGGACUUGAUGACAUUGGUGCAGUUGAACUAAAAUAGAAAUGAGUUGCAGGUUGGGUGCUGCUGUUAUAGACUAGUUGGUGUGGCAAUGACAGGUGGUAAUAGUUUAGGAAGUUACAGAAUUUUGGAGAUGGUGACAAAAUUGGUUAGUUGAUGCUAAGAUGGUAUGAAGGAAGGUUCGAUAGAGUGUGAAGAAGCUAAGAAGAUGUUGAUAUGGAGAGUGCUGCAGUUGAGGAGGUGGUGUGUUGGCUUUGUCAAAAUGGUGGAUUGCAAGGAAGAGCCGGAUUAGUGAUGAAUUUGUGGAAGUCACCAGUGAAGCUGCAAACUGUAAAUGUGUUGGUGGUUUUGGAAUGUAUGAAGCUUUUGACAAGAACUGAAGUUAAUGAUGUUACAAUUGAAAUGGAAUUAGAAACUAGUUGUAGCUUAUAGAUUUGUGUAUAGCAGAAUGGUGUAUGUACUUGUUUGUUUUUAGCUUUGAGUUUCUUUUCUUUUCAGUCAAAUGCUUAACUGUUUUGUUUCACUUAA